Molecule: transfer RNA, 77 nt
Filed under: Actinomycetospora sp.
Lineage: Bacteria; Bacillati; Actinomycetota; Actinomycetes; Pseudonocardiales; Pseudonocardiaceae
Also listed under: 3 other names
Description: tRNA-Pro
Rfam family: tRNA
About the family: Transfer RNA (tRNA) molecules are approximately 80 nucleotides in length.
Source: RNAcentral
CGGGGUGUGGCGCAGCUUGGUAGCGCGCCUCGUUCGGGACGAGGAGGCCGUGGGUUCGAAUCCCGCCACCCCGACCA